RNAcentral lists this unclassified non-coding RNA (335 nucleotides) under soil metagenome. RNAcentral describes it as "partial contains 5.8S ribosomal RNA, internal transcribed spacer 2, and large subunit ribosomal RNA". The stretch from base 6 to 121 matches the Rfam family "5.8S ribosomal RNA", at positions 39 to 154 of the family's 154-position model. The record is from RNAcentral.
GAUGAAAGAACGCAGCGAAAUGCGAUAAGUAAUGUGAAUUGCAGAAUUCAGUGAAUCAUCGAAUCUUUGAACGCACAUUGCGCCCGCCAGUAUUCUGGCGGGCAUGCCUGUUCGAGCGUCAUUUCAACCAUCAAGCCCUGCUUGCGUUGGGGUCCUGCGGCUGCCCGCAGGCCCUGAAAACCAGUGGCGGGCUCGCUAGUCACACCGAGCGCAGUAAUACAUCUCGCUUUGGGCGUGCGGCGGGUUCUUCCCGUUAAACACCCCCUUUUUACCAAGGUUGACCUCGGAUCAGGUAGGAAUACCCGCUGAACUUAAGCAUAUCAAUAAGCGGAGGA